Molecule: small RNA, 1321 nt
Filed under: Pan troglodytes (chimpanzee)
Lineage: Eukaryota; Metazoa; Chordata; Mammalia; Primates; Hominidae
Description: processed transcript
Source: RNAcentral
AAGCUAAGGAAAUACAACUUUCAAGGGAACAAGAGACAGAGUCUCACUCUGCCGCCCAGGCUGGAGUGCAGUGGUGUGAUCUGGGCUCACUGCAACCUCUGCCUCCUGGGUUCAAGCGAUUCUCCUGCUUCAGCCUCCUGAGUAGCUGGGAUUACAGUGCGUCACCAUGCCCGGCUAAUUUUUGUAUUUUUAGUGGAGAUGGGGUUUCUCCAUGUUGACCAGGCUAGUCUCAAACUCCUGACUUCAGGUGAUUCACCCGCCUCAGCCUCCCAAAGUGCUGGGAUUACAGGCACGAACCAUCAUGCCCCGCCAUCAGUUCAAUUAAAUCUAUAUAUCACAUUCUUCCUAUCCUUUUUUAUUAUACAUGUCAUGAUAUGGGAUGUUGGUGGUAAAUGUAACGUGGAGGAACAAGACAUAUGUAGGUACACUCCUUGACUGCACACGACAUGAUUGGGCACCCCCAAGGUUCUGUGACUCCCCGACCAGUGACCUGGAAAUGCGCAAUGGCCGGGGUAGAGGCAAACGCAUGCGUCCCAACAGUAAUACACCUGUCAAUGAGACAGCCACAGCCUCUGACAGCAAAGGGACCAGUAGCAGCAGCAAAACCCGGGCAGGAGCCAAUAGCAAAGGCCGUCGGGGCAGCCAGAAUUCUUCAGAGCAUCGCCCACCUGCCAGCAGCACUUCUGAGGAUGUCAAGGCCAGCCCUUCCUCAGCUAAUAAGCGGAAAAACAAACCCCUUUCAGACAUGGAGCUGAAUUCUAGCUCAGAGGACUCCAAAGGGAGCAAGCGUGUCCGUACUAAUUCCAUGGGCUCAGCCACUGGCCCCCUUCCUGGGACAAAGGUAGAACCCACUGUUCUGGACAGAAACUGUCCCUCCCCCGUCCUGAUUGACUGUCCCCACCCAAACUGCAACAAGAAGUACAAGCACAUCAAUGGACUUAAGUACCACCAAGCUCAUGCCCAUACAGAUGAUGACAGCAAGCCGGAAGCGGAUGGGGACAGUGAGUACGGAGAGGAACCUAUUCUCCAUGCAGAUCUUGGGAGCUGCAACGGUGCAUCUGUCUCACAAAAAGGUUCCUUGUCCCCUGCCCGCUCAGCUACCCCCAAAGUUCGACUUGUAGAGCCCCAUAGCCCUUCUCCUUCAAGCAAAUUCAGCACAAAAGGCCUCUGUAAGAAAAAGUUGAGUGGGGAAGGGGACACAGACCUUGGGGCCUUAUCCAAUGAUGGCUCUGAUGAUGGACCCUCAGUGAUGGAUGAAACAAGCAAUGAUGCCUUUGAUUCUUUAGAAAGGAAGUGUAUGGAAAAAGAAAAAUGUAAAAAA